Molecule: ribosomal RNA, 501 nt
Filed under: uncultured bacterium
Lineage: Bacteria
Description: bacterial SSU rRNA
Rfam family: Bacterial small subunit ribosomal RNA
Source: RNAcentral
GAUGAACGCUGGCGGCGUGCCUCAAACAUGCAAGUCGAGCGGGGCUAUGUAAUAUCGCAAGGUAGAACAUAGCCUAGCGGCGAACGGGUGAGUAACACGUGGGUAACCUGCCUGGAAGACAGGGAUAACGAUUCGAAAGGGUCGCUAAUACCUGAUAAUAUCCUUUCAUCGCAUGGUGAUAGGAAGAAAGGGGAAACCCGCUUUCAGAUGGGCCCGCGUCCCAUCAGCUAGUUGGUAAGGUAAAGGCUUACCAAGGCGACGACGGGUAGCCGGUCUGAGAGGAUGUACGGCCACACUGGGACUGAGAUACGGCCCAGACUCCUACGGGAGGCAGCAGUUGGGAAUCUUAGGCAAUGGACGAAAGUCUGACCUAGCGACGCCGCGUGAGGGAAGAAGGCCUUCGGGUUGUAAACCUCUGUCAUGGGGAAGAAGGAAGUGACGGUACCCAAGAGGAAGCCCCUGCUAACUACGUGCCAGCAGCCGCGGUAAAAGUACUCUAAU